UACGUAGGGUGCGAGCGUUGCCCGGAUUUAUUGGGCGUAAAGGGCGCGUAGGCGGCCACGCACGUCCGUUGUGAAAUCGCCCGGCUCAACUGGGCGGGGUCGGCGGAUACGGCGUGGCUGGAGCAAGCUAGGGGGCAAUGGAAUUCCCGGUGUAGUGGUGGAAUGCGUAGAUAUCCGGAGGAACACCAGUGGCGAAGGCGGCUUCCUGGCCCGAAUCUGACGCUGAGGUGCGAAAGCGUGGGGAGCGAUCCGG
Molecule: ribosomal RNA, 253 nt
Filed under: uncultured bacterium
Lineage: Bacteria
Description: partial 16S ribosomal RNA
Rfam family: Bacterial small subunit ribosomal RNA
Source: RNAcentral